This 430-nucleotide ribosomal RNA is filed under the name Lactobacillus delbrueckii. Its description in RNAcentral is "bacterial SSU rRNA". It matches the Rfam family "Bacterial small subunit ribosomal RNA", at positions 628 to 1050 of the family's 1533-position model. The record is from RNAcentral. Lineage: Bacteria; Bacillati; Bacillota; Bacilli; Lactobacillales; Lactobacillaceae.
GGAAACUGUCAUUCUUGAGUGCAGAAGAGGAGAGUGGAAUUCCAUGGUGUAGCGGUGGAAUGCGUAGAUAUAUGGAAGAACACCAGUGGCGAAGGCGGCUCUCUGGUCUGCAACUGACGCUGAGGCUCGAAAGCAUGGGUAGCGAACAGGAUUAGAUACCCUGGUAGUCCAUGCCGUAAACGAUGAACCGCUAGGUGUUGGGGACUUUCCGGUCCUCAGUGCCGCAGCAAACGCAUUAAGCGCUCCGCCUGGGGAGUACGACCGCAAGGUUGAAACUCAAAGGAAUUGACGGGGGGCCCGCACAAGCGGUGGAGCAUGUGGGUUAAUUCGAAGCAACGCGAAGAACCUUACCAGGUCUUUGACUUCCUGGGCUACCCCUAAAAAUAGGGGGUUCCCUUCCGGGAACGACAAAACAGGGUGGUGCAUGGCU